AGUGAACGCUGGCGGUAGGCCUAACACAUGCAAGUCGAACGGCAGCACAGUAAGAGCUUGCUCUUACGGGUGGCGAGUGGCGGACGGGUGAGGAAUACAUCGGAAUCUACUUUUUCGUGGGGGAUAACGUAGGGAAACUUACGCUAAUACCGCAUACGACCUACGGGUGAAAGCAGGGGAUCUUCGGACCUUGCGCGUUUGAAUGAGCCGAUGUCGGAUUAGCUAGUUGGCGGGGUAAAGGCCCACCAAGGCGACGAUCCGUAGCUGGUCUGAGAGGAUGAUCAGCCACACUGGAACUGAGACACGGUCCAGACUCCUACGGGAGGCAGCAGUGGGGAAUAUUGGACAAUGGGCGAAAGCCUGAUCCAGCCAUACCGCGUGGGUGAAGAAGGCCUUCGGGUUGUAAAGCCCUUUUGUUGGGAAAGAAAAGCAGCAGGUUAAUACCCCGAUGUUCUGACGGUACCCAAAGAAUAAGCACCGGCUAACUUCGUG
RNAcentral lists this ribosomal RNA (492 nucleotides) under uncultured bacterium. RNAcentral's name for it is "partial 16S ribosomal RNA". It matches the Rfam family "Bacterial small subunit ribosomal RNA", at positions 29 to 507 of the family's 1533-position model. The record is from RNAcentral.